AAACUCAAAUGAAUUGACGGGGCCGCACAAGCGGUGGAGCAUGUGGUUUAAUUCGAAGCAACGCGAAGAACCUUACCAGGUCUUGACAUCCCCUGACAACCGAGAGAUCGGGCGUUCCCCUUCGGGGGGACAGGGUGACAGGUGGUGCAUGGUUGUCGUCAGCUCGUGUCGUGAGAUGUUGGGUUAAGUCCCGCAACGAGCGCAACCCUCGACCUUAGUUGCCAGCAUUCAGUUGGGCACUCUAAGGUGACUGCCGGCUAAAAGUCGGAGGAAGGUGGGGAUGACGUCAAAUCAUCACGCCCCUUAUGACCUGGGCUACACACGUGCUACAAUGGGCGGUACAAAGGGUCGCGAACCCGCGAGGGGGAGCCAAUCCCAAAAAGCCGCUCUCAGUUCGGAUUGCAGGCUGCAACUCGCCUGCAUGAAGCCGGAAUCGCUAGUAAUCGCGUUUCAACAGAACGCGGUGAAUACGUCCCUGCUCCUU
RNAcentral lists this ribosomal RNA (484 nucleotides) under uncultured Anoxybacillus sp. RNAcentral describes it as "bacterial SSU rRNA". It matches the Rfam family "Bacterial small subunit ribosomal RNA", at positions 897 to 1382 of the family's 1533-position model. Lineage: Bacteria; Bacillati; Bacillota; Bacilli; Caryophanales; Anoxybacillaceae. The record is from RNAcentral.